Molecule: long non-coding RNA, 1846 nt
Filed under: Brassica napus (rape)
Lineage: Eukaryota; Viridiplantae; Streptophyta; Magnoliopsida; Brassicales; Brassicaceae
Description: long non-coding RNA (BNAP_LNC015596)
Source: RNAcentral
GUGGAGAAUCACAAAGAAGUUUGAGUAAAUAUCAUAGGAGUUAGGAUGAAGAAACUAUACCACUUUCAAAUCAAGUGAUCCCUGUUUUCCUAUUUGGGAAUAUGAAAACUUCUUCGUCAUUCUAAUUAGACCCGUAUGAAUGGAUAUGUAAGAAGCUUUUUUUUUUGAUACAUAAAGUAGUGGAGAAACACCAUAAAGUUGAAUAAAUCUCAUAUGAGUUAGGAUGAAGAAUUUAUCCCACUUUCAAAUCAAGUGAUCCCACUUUUCCUAUUUUGGAAGAUGACAACUUUUUCGUCAUUCUAAUCAAACCAAGAUGAACCGCGAUGUAAGAGGCCUGAUUUGGAUACAUAAGGUAGUGGAAAAUCACAAAGAAGUUGAGUAACUCUCAUAAGAGUUAGGAUGAAGAAACUAUCCCACUUUCAAAUCAGGUGAUCCCAGUUUUCCUGUUUGGGAAUAUGAAAAUUUCUUCGUCAUUCUAAUUAGCCCCGGAUGAACUGUGAUGUAAGAAGCUUUAUUUUGACACAUAAAGUAGUGGAGAAUCACCAAGAAGUUGAAUAAAUCUCAUAGUGGUUAGGAUGAAGAAGCUAUCCCACUUUCAAAUCAUGUGAUCCCAAUUUUCCUGUUUAGGAACAUGACAACUUUUCGUCAUUCUACUUAUCAAACCAGGAUAAACCGCGAUGUAAGAAUCUUGAUUUGGAUACAUAAAGUAGUGGAGAAUCCCAGGAAGUUGAAUAAAUCUUAUAGGAGUUAGGAUGAAGUAGCUAUCCCACUUCCAUAUCACGUGAUCCUAGGUUUCCUGUUUGGGAAUAUGACAACUUCUUCGUCAUUCUAAUCAAACCCGUAUGAAUCGCGAUGUAAGAAGCUUGUUUAGGAUACAUAAAGUAGCGGAGAAUCACCAGGAAGUUGAAUAAAUGUAAUAGGAGUUAGGAUGAAGAAGCUAUCCCACUUUCAAAUCAAGUGAUCCGAGUUUUCCUGUUUGGGAAUUUGACAAUUUCUUUGUCAUUCUAAUCAAACCAGGAUGAACCGCAAUAUCAGAAUCAUGAUUUGGAUACAUAAGGUAGUGGAGAAUCACUACGAAGUUGAUUAAAUCUCAUAGGAGUUAGGAUGAAGAAAAUUAUCCCACUUUCAAAUCAGGUGAUCCCAGUUUUCCUGUUUGGAAGUAUAACAACAAAACUAAUCAAACCAGGAUGAACCGUGAUGUAAGAAGCAUGAGUUGGAUACAUAGGGUAGUGGAGAAUCACCAGGAAGUUGACUAAAUCUCAUAGGGGUUAGGAUGAAGAAACUAUCUCACUUUCAAAUCAAGUGUUCCCAGUUUUCCUGUUUGAGAAUAUGAAAACUUCUUCGUUAUUCUAAUCAAACCCGUAUGAUUGGGUAUGUAAGAAGCUUUUUUUUUGAUACAUAAACUAGUGGACAAUCACCAGGAAGUUGAAUAAAUCUCAUAGGAGUUAGGAUGAAGAAUUUAUCCCACUUUCAAAUCAAGUGAUCCUAGUUUUCCUGUUUGAGAAUAUGACAACUUUUUCGUCAUUCUAAUCAAACCAAGAUGAACCGCGAUGUAAGAAUCUUUAUUUGGAUACAUAAGGUAGUGAAAAAUCACAAAGAAGUUGAGUAACUCUCAUAGAAGUUAGGAUGAAGAAACUAUCUCACUUUCAAAUCAAGUGAUCCCAGUUUUCCUGUUUUGGAAUAUGAAAACUUUUUUGUCAUUCUAAUCAAACCAGGAUGAACCGCAAUGUAAGAUGCAUCAUUUGGAUACAUAAGGUAGUGGAAAAUCACCAGGAAGUUGAAUAAAUCUCAUAGGAGUUAGGAUGAAGAAGCUAUUCCACUUUCUAAUCAGGUGAUCCUUGUUUUC